GGAUGUGAGAGAGAUCUGGCUGCGACAUCUGUCACCCCAUUGAUCGCCAGGGUUGAUUCGGCUGAUCUGCUGGCUAGGCGGUGUCCCCUUCCUCCCUCACUGCUCCAUGUGCGUCCCUCCCGAAGCUGGGCGCUCGGUGGAACAGGACGGCCUUCCCCGAAUAGAGAGGGACCGGUCUUCAGUGGAGGGUAUACGAGUGGCUGUGCUCCCCUGCUAGAACCUCCAAACAAGCUAUUAAAGUCCAUACAAACAAUAAAGCAUCAAACUCAACAUAAUAACCAACAAGGCACGGCACACAUGCCU
Unclassified non-coding RNA from Erinaceus europaeus (western European hedgehog), 303 nucleotides. Its record names the gene 7SK. It matches the Rfam family "7SK RNA". Rfam says of the family: 7SK was discovered as an abundant small nuclear RNA in the mid-70s but a possible function has only recently been suggested. The record is from Ensembl. Lineage: Eukaryota; Metazoa; Chordata; Mammalia; Eulipotyphla; Erinaceidae.